AGCGAACGCUGGCGGCGUACCUAACACAUGCAAGUCGAACGGGGAGUUCCCGUGUAGCAAUACAUAGGAGCUCCUAGUGGCGCACGGGUGAGUAACACGUGGGCAACCUGCCCUAGAGUCUGGGAUACCUCCGCGAAAGUGGGGCUAAUACCGGAUACGUUCCUCGGGUCGGAAGACCUGGGGAGGAAAGGUGGCGAAAGCUGCCGCUCUCGGGAGGGGCUCGCGGCCUAUCAGCAGUUGGCGGGGUAAUGGCCCACCAAGGCGAUGACGGGUAGCUGGUCUGAGAGGACGACCAGUCACACGGGGACUGAGACACGGCCCCGACUCCUACGGGAGGCAGCAGUGGGGUAAUUUCCGCAAUGGGCGAAAGCCUGACGGAGUGACGCCGCGU
This 391-nucleotide ribosomal RNA is filed under the name uncultured bacterium. RNAcentral's name for it is "bacterial SSU rRNA". It matches the Rfam family "Bacterial small subunit ribosomal RNA", at positions 30 to 402 of the family's 1533-position model. The record is from RNAcentral.